CCAACUUGUGUUGGCAGUUGUGUUACAAAUGUACUUCUGACUGUUUUGCUCUUUUUUGGGGAGGGGGAAUCAUGGCUUACUUUGAUACAAAGAUACUGUGUUUCAAAUGAGACCUCCAAUUGUUUUCUUGCUGCAGUUGUGUGUGAGAUUAUUAACUGUAUAGUAACAAGAUGACCCUUAGGACCAUUUCUUCAUGGUCUUCAGAUUCCCUCUCUCUUAUAAUGUGUGUAGAUGGUCAGAAAAUACAUCCACUAAGCUUACAUUCAUUAAGUAAAUGUCUUUCUUACAGAUGUCUGAAAGUUGUCCUUCACUCUCCUCUUCUUUGGUGUACUGUAGUUUGUCAGGACAGUGUUGUUUGUUUUGUUUGCAACUUGUUGUCUUUCUAAGGCAAGAAGGUAACACAGCUUCAACACUGACAUAGGUAGCUGGCAUACAGGUAUCUCUUUGCACUGUGAAAGAAAGAAAUUACUGUGAAGGAACAGAAAAUGAAGAUAUCAAGUGGCCUGUAGUCAGAGGAUGUUGCAUUGUUUUGGGCCUUAUCAAUUGCUCCUAGCCUUUAACCUUGCCUUUAAAAAAUUCUUUUCUUUCCACUUUGGAGGAUGAAAAAUUGAUUGAAUAGUGGUAUUGGAAAAUGACAAGUGUGAAGAAUAGUAACUGUGAUACAUUUCAUUUUUGUGUCAUAGCUGAAGCGAUGCAGAGACCAUUUCCUCACCUAUAUUUUGUUUGAGGCCUGCUUACAGGCCUUUGAGCACCACCAUUAACAGUAUUAUAUCACUGUGAAAGCUGGCUUUAUGCAAGGGUGCUUUCUGUUGAGUUUCCAGAGGCAUCCUAAGGACUUUGUGAUUCUUGUGGGAAUGAUUAGCAUGGGAAUAGGUAUUAGUGGUGCAGUUUCCUACAGUAUUGCUUUUCCUUUGUACUUCGGAAAAGGGCCUGAAAAGGAAAGCAAGAACUAAUAGGUGAUGUCAGUGCCCAGUAUUUGUCGCUUUCUUUAGUAGUGGUGUAGUUUAAUGAAAAGUAUAAAUCUGGAGUGCGCUGAAUGAUAUGUGUUUGGGUACAUCAAGCUUGUCACUAGUUGCGGUACAAUUUGAGGCUUAGAAAGAAAAAUCUUGUUAGUAGUGUUCUGAAGAUAGUAUUUCUGUAUGAAGCUAUCAUACAAUGUCUUGGCAUUCAGACAGCCUGGUUAUUACUGUUUUUUACAAAGUUUUACUUAUAGAGCAAGUGGAAAUGACAAGUUCUGGAGAGUUUUUAUUGUUGCUGCCCUGUGUUCUAUUAACUAGUCAUUGGGAAUCACAUUAGCUCGGUGCAGACUUUUUGAGCAGUGAUACUUGGAAGGCCACAUAGAUCAGGAGGGGAGGACCUAAAAUAUGUUAGCAAUAACAAAACACCGUCCGUGCUAGUUUUUGAGAGGUGAAAUGGUACUAGAGUAGCGCCCAUUCUCCUUUGCUGACUGACUGAAAGGCAGGCAUGAGGAAGAGGAUUUGGCCCUAAGACUUGGGAGAUGAGUGGAAAACACUUUUGUGUAUACAAGCUCUUGUUAUCAUUGCUAUCCUAUGGAAAAGGGCCUCCCCACCAUGGCUGGGGCUGCAGCUCUCAUCCUCUGCCUUUGGCAUGAAGGGCACUCAGCGCCCAGCUGUCUCAUCUGCUGGUUGGGCAGUGGCUUCUCCUUGCUGCCUCUUUCUGUGCUGCAGGUGUCUGACAGGAAUUAUAAGCCCUGUGAAAUUGCCACAUGAUCUGGUGUUCUACUGAGAAUUUUAUUCUAAGACAAGAUCACGUUUUCCAUGAAUGCGGGCGAACUCAAAGCACCGUAUUUGUGAUUUGUAGGCCUCGUAUACUUAGGCAUUCCUGAGGGGAUAAUGUUUGUUUUCAGAUCUCCUGUGUAUAUAUUUUAUGUAAGAAUACUUUUUUGUUAGUGGGCCCUCUGGCAGCUUGUAGUGGUAUUUUGUCUACGUAGAAGAAUUCAAGCCAAGUUUAUUUGAAGAAGGUUUAUGUGAGGUGGAAGAAUUGACAGAAAUAACAUCAUUUUAAAAUUCCUUUUUUUUUUGAGGCAUAAUUAGUGCUUUAUGUUGUUGAUAACUUAUGACUCUUCAUGUUCUACUCUUCUGUUAGUCAGAAUGACAAAUUAGAAAACUCUUUGGACGCCUUCUUGGAUACAUUUUACAUAAAGUACUGUUUGAUCUACCAAAAAAAAAAAAGUGCUAGUAUAGUAUUUUUGUGGAUAGUGCCAUGCUAGUAUUACCCUCCUGUUCCUCUUUCCUGAAUCAGUAUACACUGCUUAGUGGUGUGUGCCCUCUGCUAUUCUGAAAUCCUAAGUUCCGUACUAAUGAAGAGAUUAGGUAUUUGUGUUUUUUUUUAAAGUCAUUAUAAUACUAUUACUUUAUUAUUAUUGUUUUAAUUUCUCCGCUGAUAGUCAUUGCUGAAGUCAGUUGCCCUCUAAGUGAAGAUUCAAGGAAUGUGGUUCUAUACAUACAAUUUUUAAUGACAGUUGAGAGACAUUUUAUAAAAACACCAGUUUCUCCUUUUUAAAGAUUUGAUUAUAAAGUCAACCAAAAAAAGGAACCAACCACUUUCACAGAGAGUUACCACAGAUUCUUUUCUGAAAAUGAGGACUAUACUCCAUGUAAAUUAGUUCAAACAUCAUAGUUGCUAUCUCUGCAAGUUUGCAGGAGGCGGCAGAUGAAGAGGAAGUUGUGUGCCUACAGUGAUUAUGCAACUGGAAGGAGAUUAUUGUUAUGUCUGGGAAAACAGUUAAUACUUUGCAAAGUGUAUAAUGUUUCCCUUGUUACGUUACACUUAAAAUUGUCCUAUUUUCACUUCUUCUAUGCCUACCUCCAGAAAAAGACUAAUUCUUUUUUUCUCAAUUUUUUUUCACAGCACACUUGAGAUGUAUCUGAGUGCUGGGACCCCCCAUACUCACAGACUCUAAAACUCCUUGCCUGCCUUGCUGAGUCUCGAUUUGAUCUGCUGUGUUGGAAUACGUGAUUGCUCUCAAGUACAUGUGGAAUCAUUUUAAAAUAAUAAUAAAUAUAUUUCCACGUAUCAACUUUUCAUGGGCCGUAAUAUUCAGAACAGUGAUCAAAUACACACUCUUUCUUUAAGAAAACAUUUACGUAACAUUUAACACAGUAAUGUAUGCUUGGUUAAAUAGGUGUAUCUCCUGUGCAAGAAGUCAAUCUUGCUUUUGUAACUGAUUAUCAUAGAUCUAUCAGCUUGGUUAUUGUAUGAGUACAGUUACAGAACCGCAAACAGUAACUGAAAAAACAUUAAUAUGGUAAAAUUCAUUCUUGUGUUUGGGUUGAAAAGUGAUUGAAUGAAACUUGAGUUGCAUUUAGGUUUUGGUUGAUGGCUUCUUAUACGUACUUAUUUGAAGACUAUAAAUACCUGAAGAUAGCAGCAAUGAAUAAAAAGGUUUUGUUGGUCUAACUGUGGUGCUGUUUCUGUGACAGAACUCUUGAAUGGUUAUGUUUAUGAAGAGUUGGUGUGACUCUGAAGUGCUGUUUCCUGCUGAAAUUUGUCUGUCACACGCUGGCUAUGAGAGCCAGCUCCAGUAGGCAGGAGCUCUGCUGACUGAAAAACUUCGCACUAUGAAGAAACGCUCUGACCCACUUCAUGUAUCCUCCUGGGCUGCUGGUUACUCCUUCUCCCUGGAGCAUGAAGGAUCAAAGAUUUCCAGGUGUGGCCCAGCAUUAUUUGCUUUAGGAGAGCUGGCUGAACAGGGGGGAUAAGAGAUUUCAUGAGGGUUUCUCUAAGCAGGCACACCUCCUGUAUUGAAAUUACAUCAUUCUGCGAGGUUGUUAAAGCUGGAGGGUUGCAUACCUUGAAGCCUGUGCUGCUUCCUUCAUCUUUGCUGAGUGAAUCAAAGUGUGACUGUUUCUGUGAUGCUUAUGUUGAUGUCAUUUUAUUCUUCUAAGAAUGCUUGCUGUCCGAUGCAGGUCUGAAAUCCUUUACCAAGGUAAUUUUAGUCUUCAUAUAUCUCACUUCUUUAUAGGAAUUA
Molecule: non-coding RNA, 3991 nt
Organism: Meleagris gallopavo (turkey)
Lineage: Eukaryota; Metazoa; Chordata; Aves; Galliformes; Phasianidae
Source: RefSeq, a predicted model, not a curated record